This 85-nucleotide transfer RNA is filed under the name Neotoma lepida (desert woodrat). It matches the Rfam family "tRNA". From Rfam's summary of the family: Transfer RNA (tRNA) molecules are approximately 80 nucleotides in length. Their secondary structure includes four short double-helical elements and three loops (D, anti-codon, and T loops). The record is from Rfam by way of RNAcentral. Lineage: Eukaryota; Metazoa; Chordata; Mammalia; Rodentia; Cricetidae.
CCUUCGAUAGCUCAGUUGGUAGAGCGGAGGACUGUAGGUGGUCGCUGAUAUCCUUAGGUCGCUGGUUCGAAUCCGGCUCGAAGGA